CCUACGGGGGGCUGCAGUGGGGAAUAUUGCGCAAUGGCCGCAAGGCUGACGCAGCGACGCCGCGUGGGGGAUGACGCAUUUCGGUGUGUAAACCCCUGUUGCUCGGGACGAACAUGGCUUUUCGAGGCCACUGACGGUACCGGGUGAGGAAGCACCGGCUAACUCCGUGCCAGCAGCCGCGGUAAUACGGAGGGUGCGAGCGUUGUCCGGAAUCACUGGGCGUAAAGGGCGCGUAGGCGGUUGGCUAAGCGUGCGGUGAAAGCCCGGGGCUCAAC
RNAcentral lists this ribosomal RNA (275 nucleotides) under uncultured Gemmatimonas sp. RNAcentral's name for it is "partial 16S ribosomal RNA". It matches the Rfam family "Bacterial small subunit ribosomal RNA", at positions 338 to 613 of the family's 1533-position model. The record is from RNAcentral. Lineage: Bacteria; Pseudomonadati; Gemmatimonadota; Gemmatimonadia; Gemmatimonadales; Gemmatimonadaceae.